RNAcentral lists this ribosomal RNA (707 nucleotides) under uncultured fungus. Its description in RNAcentral is "eukaryotic LSU rRNA". The stretch from base 265 to 420 matches the Rfam family "5.8S ribosomal RNA". The record is from RNAcentral. Lineage: Eukaryota; Fungi.
ACAAGCUUUCCGUAGGUGAACCUGCGGAAGGAUCAUUGUCGUGACCCUGACCAAAACAGACUGCGCACGCGUCAUCCAAUCCGUCGGCGACGGCACCGUCCGUCGCUCGGCCAAUGCCUCGACCACCUCCCCUCCUCGGAGCGGGUGGGGGCUCGGGGUAAAACAACCCACGGCGCCGAAGGCGUCAAGGAACACUGUGCCUAACCCGGGGGCAUGUCUAGCUUGCUAGCCGUCCCUCGUGUUGCAAAUCUAUUUAAUCCACACGACUCUCGGCAACGGAUAUCUCGGCUCUCGCAUCGAUGAAGAACGUAGCGAAAUGCGAUACCUGGUGUGAAUUGCAGAAUCCCGCGAACCAUCGAGUCUUUGAACGCAAGUUGCGCCCGAGGCCACUCGGCCGAGGGCACGCCUGCCUGGGCGUCACGCCAAAACACGCUCCCAACCACUCUCAACGGGAAUCGGGAUGCGGCAUCUGGUCCCUCGUCUCUCAAGGGACGGUGGACCGAAGAUUGGGCUGCCGGCGUACCGCGCCGGACACAGCGCAUGGUGGGCGUCCUCGCUUUAUCAAUGCAGUGCAUCCGGCGCGCAGCUGGCAUUAUGGCCUUUGAACGACCCAACAAACGAAGCGCACGUCGCUUCGACCGCGACCCCAGGUCAGGCGGGACUACCCGCUGAGUUUAAGCAUAUCAAUAAGCGGAGGAGGAUCCGUG